This 432-nucleotide ribosomal RNA is filed under the name uncultured bacterium. Its description in RNAcentral is "partial 16S ribosomal RNA". It matches the Rfam family "Bacterial small subunit ribosomal RNA", at positions 29 to 507 of the family's 1533-position model. The record is from RNAcentral.
AACGAACGCUGGCGGCAUGCCUAACACAUGCAAGUCGAACGAGACCUUCGGGUCUAGUGGCGCACGGUGCGUAACGCGUGGGAACCUGCCCUUAGGUUCGGAAUAACUCCCCGAAAGGGGUGCUAAUACCGGAUAAUGUCUUCGGACCAAAGAUUUAUCGCCUUUGGAUGGGCCCGCGUUGGAUUAGCUAGUUGGUAGGGUAAAAGCCUACCAAGGCGACGAUCCAUAGCUGGUCUGAGAGGAUGAUCAGCCACACUGGGACUGAGACACGGCCCAGACUCCUACGGGAGGCAGCAGUGGGGAAUAUUGGACAAUGGGCGAAAGCCUGAUCCAGCAAUGCCGCGUGAGUGAUGAAGGCCUUAGGGUUGUAAAGCUCUUUUACCCGGGAUGAUAAUGACAGUACCGGGAGAAUAAGCUCCGGCUAACUCCGUG